GACGAACGCUGGCGGCGUGCUUAACACAUGCCAGUCGAACGGAAAGGCCCUGCUUUUGUGGGGUGCUCGAGUGGCGAACGGGUGAGUAACACGUGAGUAACCUGCCCUUGACUUUGGGAUAACUUCAGGAAACUGGGGCUAAUACCGGAUAGGAGCUCCUGCUGCAUGGUGGGGGUUGGAAAGUUUCGGCGGUUGGGGAUGGACUCGCGGCUUAUCAGCUUGUUGGUGGGGUAGUGGCUUACCAAGGCUUUGACGGGUAGCCGGCCUGAGAGGGUGACCGGCCACAUGGGGACUGAGAUACGGCCCAGACUCCUACGGGAGGCAGCAGUGGGGAAUAUUGCACAAUGGGCGGAAGCCUGAUGCAGCAACGCCGCGUGCGGGAUGACGGCCUUCGGGGUGUAAACCGCUUUCGCCUGUGACGAAGCGUGAGUGACGGUAAUGGGUAAAGAAGCACCGGCUAACUACGUG
This 468-nucleotide ribosomal RNA is filed under the name uncultured bacterium. RNAcentral's name for it is "partial 16S ribosomal RNA". It matches the Rfam family "Bacterial small subunit ribosomal RNA", at positions 28 to 507 of the family's 1533-position model. The record is from RNAcentral.